Molecule: ribosomal RNA, 445 nt
Filed under: uncultured bacterium
Lineage: Bacteria
Description: partial 16S ribosomal RNA
Rfam family: Bacterial small subunit ribosomal RNA
Source: RNAcentral
GUGAGGAAUAUUGGUCAAUGGGCGGGAGCCUGAACCAGCCAAGUCGCGUGAAGGAAGAAGGAUCUAUGGUUCGUAAACUUCUUUUGCAGGGGAAUAAAGUGCAGGACGUGUCCUGUUUUGUAUGUACCCUGAGAAUAAGGAUCGGCUAACUCCGUGCCAGCAGCCGCGGUAAUACGGAGGAUCCGAGCGUUAUCCGGAUUUAUUGGGUUUAAAGGGUGCGUAGGUGGUUUGAUAAGUCAGCGGUGAAAGUUUGCAGCUUAACUGUAAAAAUGCCGUUGAAACUGUCGGACUUGAGUGUAAAUGAGGUAGGCGGAAUGCGUAGUGUAGCGGUGAAAUGCAUAGAUAUCACGCAGAACUCCGAUUGCGAAGGCAGCUUACUAAGCUACAACUGACACUGAAGCACGAAAGCGUGGGGAUCAAACAGGAUUAGAUACCCGAGUAGUCC